UGAGAGUUAUAACUUCCAUGGAUGCAUGCGAUGUUAAAACUCAUUGAUAUAGUUUUAGUUAAUCUUCUAUGGAUGCGAUGUUAAAACUUCCAUUGAGUUUAAGUAAUCUUCCGUGGAAGUUCUUAUACAAGGAAGGAAGGAAGACAUACAAUGGUAAUUAGGAUGUUUGAAGCAAGAUGUGCAAAAACGUAGCAGCUAUAUUUCAAACCCCUAUUGCCUGCAAUCUUUCCCAUGGCAUUUCGUCAUACAGGCAGAGAUUGUAAAUUGAAGGCCUGUCAAUGAUAUAUUAACUGCUUGCAAUUUCAAGAAUUACUUUCCUUGGAGUCUUGCAAGGUCACUGCAUCUGAAAUCAAGAAGCUUCAGUCUGCUGACCUUCCCAAUUUGAUAAGCUGAGGAUUCUGUUAUCAUUCUGAUGAACAAUCUCAUGUAGAUAUAUAUGUAUAUAGCUUCUGUUCUGGAUAACUAUGGAAGGCCAUCAAUAGAGGAGCCACAUCUUAUACAACGUGAUGCAUGCAAGAAUCUAAUUAUGCAUUUCCCUGUCUAUGAAUAAUUGUACAUAACCAAGUUGGGUAUCUAUAUAGGGUUUAGUUUCUUUAAAGUGAGGGGUGUACUUCAACCAAACUCAUUUAUCAAAUAACAUAUUAAAAGGGAUUCACAUGGUAGUUUCCUUGACCACAAGGACUUGUGUUUUACAUGAAGGGU
Non-coding RNA from Lupinus albus (white lupine), 702 nucleotides. NCBI's taxonomy places the organism in Eukaryota, Viridiplantae, Streptophyta, Magnoliopsida, Fabales, Fabaceae. The record is from the annotation of a GenBank genome assembly.